RNAcentral lists this ribosomal RNA (77 nucleotides) under Pseudoalteromonas sp. RNAcentral's name for it is "partial 16S ribosomal RNA". It matches the Rfam family "Bacterial small subunit ribosomal RNA", at positions 1 to 75 of the family's 1533-position model. Lineage: Bacteria; Pseudomonadati; Pseudomonadota; Gammaproteobacteria; Alteromonadales; Pseudoalteromonadaceae. RNAcentral also lists the same sequence under 2 other names. The record is from RNAcentral.
UUUAAUUGAAGAGUUUGAUCAUGGCUCAGAUUGAACGCUGGCGGCAGGCCUAACACAUGCAAGUCGAGCGGUAACAU